This 71-nucleotide long non-coding RNA is filed under the name Aedes aegypti (yellow fever mosquito). RNAcentral describes it as "lncRNA AAEL028718". It matches the Rfam family "Sphinx_ conserved region 1", at positions 21 to 88 of the family's 100-position model. The record is from RNAcentral. Lineage: Eukaryota; Metazoa; Arthropoda; Insecta; Diptera; Culicidae.
CGGUUAUUCGGCGGAGUACUACCCGAAGGUCCACGGACCUUACGAUCCUGUCCGUUUCUACGGCAAGCCGG